UAACCUGCCCAAGAGAUCGGGAUAACACCUGGAAACAGAUGCUAAUACCGGAUAAUAACAGAUGAUGCCUAUCAACUGUUUAAAAGAUGGUUCUGCUAUCACUCUUGGAUGGACCUGCGGUGCAUUAGCUAGUUGGUAGGGUAACGGCCUACCAAGGCGAUGAUGCAUAGCCGAGUUGAGAGACUGAUCGGCCACAUUGGGACUGAGACACGGCCCAAACUCCUACGGGAGGCAGCAGGA
This 240-nucleotide ribosomal RNA is filed under the name uncultured Lactobacillus sp. RNAcentral describes it as "partial 16S ribosomal RNA". It matches the Rfam family "Bacterial small subunit ribosomal RNA", at positions 122 to 354 of the family's 1533-position model. The record is from RNAcentral. Lineage: Bacteria; Bacillati; Bacillota; Bacilli; Lactobacillales; Lactobacillaceae.